This 569-nucleotide ribosomal RNA is filed under the name uncultured bacterium. RNAcentral's name for it is "partial 16S ribosomal RNA". It matches the Rfam family "Bacterial small subunit ribosomal RNA", at positions 355 to 915 of the family's 1533-position model. The record is from RNAcentral.
UGGGGAAUAUUGCACAAUGGGCGCAAGCCUGAUGCAGCCAUGCCGCGUGUGUGAAGAAGGCCUUCGGGUUGUAAAGCACUUUCAGCGAGGAGGAAGGUGGUGAGCUUAAUACGCUCAUCAAUUGACGUUACUCGCAGAAGAAGCACCGGCUAACUCCGUGCCAGCAGCCGCGGUAAUACGGAGGGUGCAAGCGUUAAUCGGAAUUACUGGGCGUAAAGCGCACGCAGGCGGUUUGUUAAGUCAGAUGUGAAAUCCCCGGGCUCAACCUGGGAACUGCAUUUGAAACUGGCAAGCUAGAGUCUCGUAGAGGGGGUAGAAUUCCAGGUGUAGCGGUGAAAUGCGUAGAGAUCUGGAGAAUACCGGUGGCGAAGGCGGCCCCCUGGACGAAGACUGACGCUCAGGUGCGAAAAGCGUGGGGAGCAAACAGGAUUAGAUACCCCUGGUAGUCCACGCUGUAAACGAUGUCGAUUUUGGAGGUUGUGCCCUUGAGGCGUGGCUUCCGGAGCUAACGCGUUAAAUCGACCGCCUGGGGAGUACGGCCGCAAGGUUAAAACUCAAAGGAAUUGGAC